UCAUUAGGUAGGAUGAUUCUUACCUGUGGCCUUUUGGCCUCAGACACAUGAUGAUACUGGGUGAUGAUAAUUUGUGAAUUACAUCCCACGAGGCUGAGGGGACUGCAACGCUUCUCAGUACUCACUAUCUGAU
Gigantopelta aegis is the source of this 133-nucleotide small nucleolar RNA. RefSeq annotates it as U8 small nucleolar RNA. NCBI's taxonomy places the organism in Eukaryota, Metazoa, Mollusca, Gastropoda, Neomphalida, Peltospiridae. The transcript has a single exon. The record is from RefSeq and is a predicted model, not a curated record.